This 67-nucleotide transfer RNA is filed under the name Marmota monax (woodchuck). RNAcentral describes it as "tRNA.Ala". It matches the Rfam family "tRNA". From Rfam's summary of the family: Transfer RNA (tRNA) molecules are approximately 80 nucleotides in length. Lineage: Eukaryota; Metazoa; Chordata; Mammalia; Rodentia; Sciuridae. The record is from RNAcentral.
GGUUGUAGCUCAGUGGUACAGUGCUUGCCUAGCAUGCAUGAGGCACUGGGUUCGAUUCUCAGCACCA